UACGUAGGGUGCGAGCGUUAAUCGGAAUUACUGGGCGUAAAGCGUGAGCAGGCGGUUUUGUAAGCCAGAUGUGAAAGCCCCGGGCUUAACCUGGGAAUGGCAUUUGGGACUGCAAGGCUUGAGUGCGGCAGAGGAGACUGGAAUUCCUGGUGUAGCAGUGGAAUGCGUAGAUAUCAGGAGGAAUACCGAUGGCGAAGGCAGGUCUCUGGGCUGACACUGACGCUCAUGCACGAAAGCGUGGGGAGCAAACAGG
This 253-nucleotide ribosomal RNA is filed under the name uncultured bacterium. RNAcentral's name for it is "partial 16S ribosomal RNA". It matches the Rfam family "Bacterial small subunit ribosomal RNA", at positions 524 to 776 of the family's 1533-position model. The record is from RNAcentral.